UACGUAGGGUGCAGGUGUUAAUCGGAAUUACUGGGCGUAAAGCGUGCGCAGGCGGUUUGCUAAGACAGGUGUGAAAUCCCCGGGCUUAACCUGGGAACUGCGCUUGUUACUGGCAGGCUUGAGUGUGGCAGAGGGGGGUGGAAUUCCACGUGUAGCAGUGAAAUGCGUAGAGAUGUGGAGGAACACCGAUGGCGAAGGCAGCCCCCUGGGCUAACACUGACGCUCAUGCACGAAAGCGUGGGGAGCAAACAGG
RNAcentral lists this ribosomal RNA (253 nucleotides) under uncultured bacterium. RNAcentral describes it as "partial 16S ribosomal RNA". It matches the Rfam family "Bacterial small subunit ribosomal RNA", at positions 524 to 776 of the family's 1533-position model. The record is from RNAcentral.